GUGAUGAUAGAUCGUGGAGUGCUGGUGACGACGACCGCGGGUCGACUCGUUUUCUUUUUCAAUGUCUUGAGAUUGACGAGUAUUCUAUUUUUCUGAUGGAUUCAUGGUUUACGAGAAUAAGAGGAAGCGAUCUGCAAGCAUAACAUAGGGGUAACUGGAGUUGGGUGUCUUACAGGUUCUUAGCAAGUGAUUGAUCGUGUUUAUGUGAGUUGAUGUUACAAACAUUGAUUUUUAUUUGUUUUAUGUUUUUUGUAUUUUUAUUUGAUAUAUUAAAAA
Molecule: long non-coding RNA, 276 nt
Filed under: Brassica napus (rape)
Lineage: Eukaryota; Viridiplantae; Streptophyta; Magnoliopsida; Brassicales; Brassicaceae
Description: long non-coding RNA (BNAP_LNC014868)
Source: RNAcentral